RNAcentral lists this ribosomal RNA (495 nucleotides) under uncultured bacterium. Its description in RNAcentral is "partial 16S ribosomal RNA". It matches the Rfam family "Bacterial small subunit ribosomal RNA", at positions 28 to 507 of the family's 1533-position model. The record is from RNAcentral.
GACGAGCGCUGGCGGCGUGCCUAAUACAUGCAAGUAGAACGCUGAAGGAGGAGCUUGCUUCUCUGGAUGAGUUGCGAACGGGUGAGUAACGCGUAGGUAACCUGCCUGGUAGCGGGGGAUAACUAUUGGAAACGAUAGCUAAUACCGCAUAAUAGUAGAUGUUGCAUGACAUUUGCUUAAAAGGUGCAAUUGCAUCACUACCAGAUGGACCUGCGUUGUAUUAGCUAGUUGGUGAGGUAACGGCUCACCAAGGCAACGAUACAUAGCCGACCUGAGAGGGUGAUCGGCCACACUGGGACUGAGACACGGCCCAGACUCCUACGGGAGGCAGCAGUAGGGAAUCUUCGGCAAUGGACGGAAGUCUGACCGAGCAACGCCGCGUGAGUGAAGAAGGUUUUCGGAUCGUAAAGCUCUGUUGUAAGAGAAGAACGAGUGUGAGAGUGGAAAGUUCACACUGUGACGGUAUCUUACCAGAAAGGGACGGCUAACUACGUG